Molecule: ribosomal RNA, 515 nt
Filed under: Angamiana yunnanensis
Lineage: Eukaryota; Metazoa; Arthropoda; Insecta; Hemiptera; Cicadidae
Description: partial 16S ribosomal RNA
Rfam family: Archaeal large subunit ribosomal RNA (bases 392-515)
Source: RNAcentral
CGCUUUUAGAAUAAAAAUUAAAGGUUUAAUCUGCCCAAUGAUUAUUUAAUGGCCGCGGUAAACUGACCGUGCAAAGGUAGCAUAAUAAUUAGUCUUUUAAUUGAAGGCUUGCAUGAAUGAUUGAAUGAAAAAUUAACUUUAUUAAUAAAAUUAUUAAAACUUAAUUUUUAAGUUAAAAGGCUUAAAUAUUUAAGUUGGACGAGAAGACCCUAUAGAAUUUGAAAAUGUUAAUUUUUAAUUUAAUUUAAGUAUUAUAUAAUUUAAAUAAAAAAUUUCUUUUUUUUGUUGGGGUGACAUUAAAAAAUAUAUAACUUUUAAUAUAUAUAACAUAUAUAUAUGUAAAUAUUGAUCCAAUAUUGUAAUAUUGAUUUUAAGAAUAAAUUACCUUAGGGAUAACAGCGUUAUUAUUUUUUAGAGUUCAUAUUAAUAAAAUAGUUUGCGACCUCGAUGUUGGAUUAAGAAUAUAAUUUGGAGCAAAAUCUAAAAUUUUAGGUCUGUUCGACCUUUAAAUUCUU